RNAcentral lists this unclassified non-coding RNA (118 nucleotides) under Homo sapiens (human). RNAcentral's name for it is "mitogen-activated protein kinase 4 (ENSG00000282110.1)". Lineage: Eukaryota; Metazoa; Chordata; Mammalia; Primates; Hominidae. The record is from RNAcentral.
GAGUUCAGAUUCGGAUCGCAGUCCCGAUUAUCCUCCCCUCCAGCCUCUCCCUUUCUCGUUGAAGGGUUAAUACAGCGUCCUCUCCCCUCGCCACCCGACAGAGGCGCCUACACUGGCG